AACUGAAGAGUUUGAUCAUGGCUCAGAUUGAACGCUGGCGGCAGGCUUAACACAUGCAAGUCGAGCGGAGAGAGGUAGCUUGCUACUGAUCUUAGCGGCGGACGGGUGAGUAAUGCUUAGGAAUCUGCCUAUUAGUGGGGGACAACAUUUCGAAAGGAAUGCUAAUACCGCAUACGUCCUACGGGAGAAAGCAGGGGAUCUUCGGACCUUGCGCUAAUAGAUGAGCCUAAGUCGGAUUAGCUAGUUGGUGGGGUAAAGGCCUACCAAGGCGACGAUCUGUAGCGGGUCUGAGAGGAUGAUC
RNAcentral lists this ribosomal RNA (301 nucleotides) under Acinetobacter pittii. RNAcentral's name for it is "partial 16S ribosomal RNA". It matches the Rfam family "Bacterial small subunit ribosomal RNA", at positions 1 to 305 of the family's 1533-position model. The record is from RNAcentral. Lineage: Bacteria; Pseudomonadati; Pseudomonadota; Gammaproteobacteria; Moraxellales; Moraxellaceae.